GACGAACGCUGGCGGCGUGCCUAAUACAUGCAAGUAGAACGCUGAAGCGAGGAGCUUACUCUUCUUGGAUGAGUUGCGAACGGGUGAGUAACGCGUAGGUAACCUGCCUUGUAGCGGGGGAUAACUAUUGGAAACGAUAGCUAAUACCGCAUAACAAUGGAUGACACAUGUCAGUUAUUUGAAAGGGGCAAUUGCUCCACUACAAGAUGGACCUGCGUUGUAUUAGCUAGUAGGUGAGGUAAUGGCUCACCUAGGCGACGAUACGUAGCCGACCUGAGAGGGUGAGCGGCCACACUGGGAGGGAGACAGGGCACAGAGUGCUAGGGGAGGGAGCAGUAGGGAAUCGUCGGGAAGAGGGGCAACACUGACCGAGCAACGCCGAGGGAGGGAAGAAGGUUGUCGGAUCGUAAAGCUCUGUUGUAAGUCAAGAACGGGUGUGAGCGUGGAAAGUUCACACUGUGACGGUAGCGUACCAGAAAGGGACGGCUAACUACGUG
RNAcentral lists this ribosomal RNA (497 nucleotides) under uncultured bacterium. RNAcentral's name for it is "partial 16S ribosomal RNA". It matches the Rfam family "Bacterial small subunit ribosomal RNA", at positions 28 to 507 of the family's 1533-position model. The record is from RNAcentral.